UCUAUACCCCAUUAUUUGCCCGACCCCUGUCUGCUCAGUUUUAGGUUGGGGUGACCACGGAGUAUAAAAUAACCUCCAUGAAGAAGGGGAUAUUUCCCUUAUUAGAGAACCACACUUCCAAGAACUAAUAAAUUAAUUUUCAAUGACCCGAUACCCGAUAAUCGAUCAACGAACCAAGUUACCCUGGGGAUAACAGCGCAAUCCACCCUGAAAGCCCUUAUUAACAGGUGGGUUUACGACCUCGAUGUUGGAUCAGGGUAUCCCAGUGGUGCAGCAGCUACUGAGGGUUCGUUUGUUCAACGAUUAAAACCCU
This 313-nucleotide ribosomal RNA is filed under the name Boophis quasiboehmei. Its description in RNAcentral is "partial 16S ribosomal RNA". It matches the Rfam family "Bacterial large subunit ribosomal RNA", at positions 2230 to 2597 of the family's 2925-position model. The record is from RNAcentral. Lineage: Eukaryota; Metazoa; Chordata; Amphibia; Anura; Mantellidae.